RNAcentral lists this ribosomal RNA (496 nucleotides) under uncultured bacterium. RNAcentral's name for it is "partial 16S ribosomal RNA". It matches the Rfam family "Bacterial small subunit ribosomal RNA", at positions 29 to 507 of the family's 1533-position model. The record is from RNAcentral.
AUGAACGCUGGCGGCGUGCCUAAUACAUGCCAGUCGAGCGAACAGACGAGGAGCUUGCUCCUCUGACGUUAGCGGCGGACGGGUGAGUAACACGUGGAUAACCUACCUAUAAGACUGGGAUAACUUCGGGAAACCGGAGCUAAUACCGGAUAAUAUAUUGAACCGCAUGGUUCAAUAGUGAAAGACGGUUUUGCUGUCACUUAUAGCUGGAUCCGCGCCGCAUUAGCUAGUUGGUAAGGUAACGGCUUACCAAGGCAACGAUGCGUAGCCGACCUGAGAGGGUGAUCGGCCACACUGGAACUGAGACACGGUCCAGACUCCUACGGGAGGCAGCAGUAGGGAAUCUUCCGCAAUGGGCGAAAGCCUGACGGAGCAACGCCGCGUGAGUGAUGAAGGUAUUCGGAUCGUAAAACUCUGUUAUUAGGGAAGAACAAAUGUGUAAGUAACUAUGCACGUCUUGACGGUACCUAAUCAGAAAGACACGGCUAACUACGUG